GUGCUUGCUUUGGCAGCAUAUAUACUAAAACUGGAACAAUACAGAGAAGAUUAGCAUGGCCCCUGCACAAGAAUGACAUGCAAAUUCAUGAAGCAUUCCAUGUUUCU
Molecule: small nuclear RNA, 107 nt
Filed under: Vicugna pacos (alpaca)
Lineage: Eukaryota; Metazoa; Chordata; Mammalia; Artiodactyla; Camelidae
Source: RNAcentral